CCUCUUCGUUUUAGCAAAUUUAAGUAUCAUUGAUCCAAGAUCCAAUAACCUUUCUUUAUCGGGCUCUACUUUCUCUUUUUUGUUGAUCGCGGCAAACUCAGAUCACUAUGGGCAGUCUCACACCUUAGGUGAUCCACAACAUAAAAAGCAUUGUAUCUCACUCUUCUUUUCCUUCGACUAGUUAUUGGGUUUCCCCUUCCGAUUAUGUGGUUUCCUAGUGCCACCAUUAGCAUUGCUAUACUCAACAUGUCCUUAUUCAUCUUCCCCACUAUUUCCCUGUUUGUCUUUC
Molecule: long non-coding RNA, 289 nt
Filed under: Gossypium barbadense (sea-island cotton)
Lineage: Eukaryota; Viridiplantae; Streptophyta; Magnoliopsida; Malvales; Malvaceae
Description: long non-coding RNA (GBAR_LNC020199)
Source: RNAcentral